UUUACUAUAUUUCUAGGGUUCACGAGAGAUGGGAAAUAUUUUUCUUUUUCUUUUUUGAUUGCCUUUAAUAUGUGCUAUUUUAGUUCUAUGUUUAUUAUUUGCUAGAUUGUUAAUCUGUUGUGUAAUCAAGUAUUCCAGACGGGAGCGGGUUGAUGACAUCCUGCACCUCAAUGCUGGAUUCAACGCGGCCCCGAUGUUUCAGAACUUCUUCCCCCGCUAUUCAGUCCAUAAUCCAGCAUUACAAGUACAAUCUCACUAAAGGUAAAAAAAGUAAGUUAAAGUCAAUAUUGUAAUCUUUUUUAAUCUAUUUGCUACUGUACAUAGUAUAGUUUUAAUGCAAGUAGGCUAGCAUCCUGACUUAGCUUGCCGAAAAAUUAAAUUUUAUUCAGCUAAUAAAUACUCCGUAGUUGGUAACAUCAAUCUGAUUUAGAUGUCAGGUAGCAUUAGAGUAUAGGUUUUAUGGAUAUCUUACUAGACAAAAAAGGGUUUUAAAUAAACUGAAUCGACCUUUCAUUUGAGUUGAUAGUUGAGCUUUUGUCUCCAUUUUCUCCGAUACCCCUGACAUUUUAAUUUUUUUCCAGUUCUUUUAGCUGUCAUAAAGGUUUAACUUCAUAAACUUGAUAAUCGAAUUUCAUGCUGGAGCCAAAAAAACUUCUGUGACCCUCAUCUGUUCUACUUAUUGUGAUAGAAGCCAAUAUAGCACUUGUUCAUGUUGGACAAUUUUUUCUGUAUCAAGACAUGCUACUUAGACCUUUGGUUAAUUUAGUAUUCUUGUUCUGCGAGAUCGGUUGUGGAUCCUAUCUGUCUUUAAAGUUCCAAGUAUUAGCGAAGAUCUUAGAUUUUGCCCUUUGUGCUGCUAACCAGCUAGGGCUACAGCCUACAAUUGCAUUCAUCUUAAUGAAGUCAUCUUCAUACACCCUCAUGAAUGGAAGAAAUUCUUUGUGCAUAGGCUGUUGUGCUGGUAUUUGGAAAUUGUUUCCUCAAAGCAGCAGAAAUCUUGAUUUAGUUGCCUUGUUGGGUUUUCAUACUUGUAUUUGAAGGCCACCGAUGCAGGAAAAUUGCGUGCAGAAUACAGUCGCCUCGUUGAAGGAUUGGCUCAAAGGGGAAAUUUAUCGAGUAUGUCAUUACUUCGUAGGCAUUUUUCUCGAAGAUGGUUUGUCGCCUUUUUCUGGUGGUGGCAAUUUGUUUCAAUAUAUUGAAAUUUUUAACGCUUUUGCUAUUAAGUUUUUAGGUGGCGAUACUUGGCUUUCCAACCCGGCUCUGCCUGAUGAUAUCUUAAAAGAGGCGGUACCAGGGAAUAUUCGCCGAGCAGAGCAUUUUUUAUCUGUUUUGCGUAGAUUGGUGCAAUAUAGGCCGGUUACAAACUGAGAAUUUUGAAAAGGAGUCACCUGUUUCUUUUGUAGCAUCCCUACAUGCGCAAGCUGGACUUGAUCAAAAAACCUUGAAAUUCUGUUAUGACCGCCUGCACUCCCUGAUGUUGACCCUUGAAAUAACUGAUACAGAUGAGUUCUUAAGUAUUCAGACAAUCUAAAAUGAAAUAAUGCAGCAUAAGCUUGUUUUCAUCGAAACUCAAGAUGUUGUAGAAACUACUGGCUCUGGACAACUAUCGCAAGGCUUGUGAUUGUGGGAGAGGUGCUUUUGUCUUUUUCUCUGUUGCCAGGGGAAAGGUAGCCGAAGGUAUAGAUUUUGAUCGACAUUAUAGUGAUCAUGUUUGGUGUUCCAUUCCAGUACACUUUGAGCAAAAUACGCGAAGGUCAGAACCAAUAGUUCGUCAGUGAAUGGAUCUUUACAUCUUAAUACAGUAUCUCAGUGUAAGCAGUGGUCAAAUAUGUUCCUAUUUAACUUAAUGCUAUUGGUUUGAAUGAUGAGGACAAUAUUGAGAAAAACGAAGCCUGCUCUCAGGGAAAUUGAGAAAUGGAUUCAUUUAACAUCUUAUUUGUCCAUCGGUUUUUAGUUUAUCUUGUUUACAUGAGAAAGACUCCUAGCUGAUAUGCAAAGUCUCGUAUUGGAACUA
Beta vulgaris subsp. vulgaris (sugar beet) is the source of this 2014-nucleotide long non-coding RNA. RefSeq lists it as uncharacterized. The record is from RefSeq and is a predicted model, not a curated record. NCBI's taxonomy places the organism in Eukaryota, Viridiplantae, Streptophyta, Magnoliopsida, Caryophyllales, Amaranthaceae. The transcript has 5 exons.